AAUGGAGUGCCUGAUAAAAGGGUUAUUUUGAUAGAAUAAAUUAUGUGAGCGGACCACCUCCAUUU
RNAcentral lists this transfer RNA (65 nucleotides) under Nephus includens. RNAcentral's name for it is "tRNA-Ile". Lineage: Eukaryota; Metazoa; Arthropoda; Insecta; Coleoptera; Coccinellidae. The record is from RNAcentral. RNAcentral also lists the same sequence under 1 other name.